RNAcentral lists this transfer RNA (72 nucleotides) under Camelus bactrianus (Bactrian camel). It matches the Rfam family "tRNA". Rfam says of the family: Transfer RNA (tRNA) molecules are approximately 80 nucleotides in length. Their secondary structure includes four short double-helical elements and three loops (D, anti-codon, and T loops). Lineage: Eukaryota; Metazoa; Chordata; Mammalia; Artiodactyla; Camelidae. The record is from Rfam by way of RNAcentral. RNAcentral also lists the same sequence under 1 other name.
GAGGAUAUAGCUCAGUGACAGAGUGUAUGCUUAGCAUGCAUGAGGUCCUGGGUUCAAUCCCUGGGACCCCCC